Long non-coding RNA from Lepisosteus oculatus (spotted gar), 324 nucleotides. The record is from Ensembl. NCBI's taxonomy places the organism in Eukaryota, Metazoa, Chordata, Actinopteri, Semionotiformes, Lepisosteidae.
UUCUAAAACACUACAGACCCUAUAAGGCAUUGCGACAGCUAAGCAUGUGCAAUGCACGUUCGCAUUGUUUCCUGUUUUUAAAACGCUGCUCGAACCGUGAGGUCCGGGGGUUGGUGUUUGGUGUCUGGUGUCUUUGGUUUUUAAUGAGAGGUCGGUGGUACCUUCUUGUCCAGCAGACAAAUUCAAGUACGGAACCUUUCUGGUAAUGACGCGUAGCAACAGUGCUGCUCUUUAAGCGUCGACAGUAAUGGAAGAUGAUGUGAAGCCACUGCUUGCCCCAGAGAGGGCUGGAGAGAACCACGUGGAGGCAGAUCACAACAACUU